This 71-nucleotide transfer RNA is filed under the name Cromeria nilotica (naked shellear). RNAcentral describes it as "tRNA-Trp". It matches the Rfam family "tRNA". From Rfam's summary of the family: Transfer RNA (tRNA) molecules are approximately 80 nucleotides in length. The record is from RNAcentral. Lineage: Eukaryota; Metazoa; Chordata; Actinopteri; Gonorynchiformes; Kneriidae.
AGGGAUUUAGGUGUGAUCUAGACCAAGGGCCUUCAAAGCCCCAAGCGGGAGUUAAAGCCUCCUAAUCCCUG